UACGGGGGGGGCAAGCGUUGUUCGGAAUUACUGGGCGUAAAGGGCUCGUAGGUGGCCAACUAAGUCAUACGUGAAAUCCCUCGGCUUAACCGGGGAACUGCGCCUGAUACUGGUUGGCUUGAGUUUGGGAGAGGGACGCGGAAUUCCAGGUGCAGCGGUGAAAUGCGUAGAUAUCUGGAGGAACACCGGUGGCGAAGGCGGCGUCCUGGACCAAUACUGACACUGAGGAGCGAAAGCCAGGGGAGCAAACGGG
RNAcentral lists this ribosomal RNA (253 nucleotides) under uncultured bacterium. RNAcentral's name for it is "partial 16S ribosomal RNA". It matches the Rfam family "Bacterial small subunit ribosomal RNA", at positions 524 to 776 of the family's 1533-position model. The record is from RNAcentral.